CUACGGAGGAUGCGAGCGUUAUCCGGAUUUAUUGGGUUUAAAGGGAGCGUAGGCGGUAGCUUAAGUCAGCGGUUAAAUGGUGCGGCUCAACCGUGCCCUGCCGUUGAAACUGGGUUUCUUGAGAGUGCAAGCGGCGGAUGGGAUUCAUGGUGUAGCGGGGAAAAGCUUAGAUAUCAUGAAGGACUCCGGUUGCGAAGGCAGUCCGCUGGGGCACGUCUGACGCUGAUGCUCGAAGGUGCGGGAAUCAAACAGGAUUAGAUCCCCUGGUAGUCCGCACGGUAAACGAUGAUUACCCGCUGUCGGCGGCAGACAGUCGGCGGCCAAGCGAAAGCGAUAAGUAAUCCACCUGGGGAGUACGCCGGCAACGGUGAAACUCAAAGGAAUUGACGGGG
RNAcentral lists this ribosomal RNA (392 nucleotides) under uncultured bacterium. RNAcentral describes it as "partial 16S ribosomal RNA". It matches the Rfam family "Bacterial small subunit ribosomal RNA", at positions 523 to 918 of the family's 1533-position model. The record is from RNAcentral.